GACGAACGCUGGCGGCGUGCUUAACACAUGCAAGUCGAACGGAAAGGCCCUGCUUUUGUGGUGUGCUCGAGUGGCGAACUGAUGAGUAACACGUGAGUAACCUGCCCUUGACUUUGUGAUAACUUCAGGAAACUGGGGCUAAUACCGGAUAGGAGCUCCUGCUGCAUGUUGGGGGUUGGAAAGUUUCGGCGGUUGGGGAUGGACUCGCGGCUUAUCAGCUUGUUGGUGGGGUAGUGGCUUACCAAGGCUUUGACGGGUAGCCGGCCUGAGAGGGUGACCGGCCACGUUGGGACUGAGAUACGGCCCAGACUCCUACGGGAGGCAGCAGUGGGGAAUAUUGCACAAUGGGCGGAAGCAUGAUGCAGCAACGCCGCGUGCGGGAUGACGGCCUUCGGGUUGUAAACCGCUUUCGCCUGUGACGAAGCGUGAGUGACGGUAAUGGGUAAAGAAGCACCGGCUAACUACGUG
This 468-nucleotide ribosomal RNA is filed under the name uncultured bacterium. RNAcentral describes it as "partial 16S ribosomal RNA". It matches the Rfam family "Bacterial small subunit ribosomal RNA", at positions 28 to 507 of the family's 1533-position model. The record is from RNAcentral.